CGAGCUCGGCCAAAUCGGGCCAGGACCCAAAUCCGGACGGGCAACCCGGUCCAUUAACACCGCUAACUAAAAUACGCCCACAGUGCGCAGAUUUCGCAUUACACUCUGCCGCUGAUGAGAGAGCUAGAUAGCAGCGACGCCAGGCAAAGUGAGGAGGCCAAGCUCCAAUUCCCGGGCAAAGAAGGGCUCUCGAUUGCUCAAAUCUCAGCCGUCCAUUUUCUCACUCUCUUGAUUUUCUUGUCCGACCGUAAAAAUGGCGUCUUAUUUAUUUAUUUUCCCCCUAAAUUCGGAUGCAGAGUCGAAGCUUCAAAUUGUUGCUGAGGUUUAGCAAAAUCGGUGGGAAGUUGUUUUUCCUUUCCUUUUUAAUUCCUUAUUUCUGUUUGUUUCAGUGUUUUGAGAUGGAACCUGAACUGUACACGUGUCAUGCAUUUACGGAGAUCCAGACCGUCCAUCCCGGGGGGACCUAUAUUGGAUGGAACAAGGGCGGAAGCUCUCACUGCUGGGAUCAUACAUCUCACAAUGUGAAGCAUAUGGAUUUGGACAUGAGGCAUGUUCCCAUCAUGCACAUCCCAUUGCAAGAGAAAUGGAGAGCAUGAGUCCAUGAGGAGAUCCAAGCCAUUGAUCGUGGCAGACGUUAUCAUACAGGAGAAGUCCAGCUUGGAUAGAUAUCAGAUGCAUGACUCAAGCGAUUCGACUUCUUCAACUGGCCAUUGCAUGAGUUGUUGACCGUUCCUGUCAAGCCAUACGGCCCGAGGAAUCGACUGAAUGGAAAAAGAAAAAGAAACGAAGAAAAACCAUGGUAGAAGUCGAGAGCUCAUGAAUAUUCUAGAUUUUCGAUAAUAGCAAGGGACAUUGUCAAUUCCAAUUUUGACCGUAGCAUCAGAAUCAACUUUUAGCACGGGGAGUAGGGCUGUGAGCAAGCAUUGAAGCUAACUCGCCUCGAAAACAGUCGAAGUAUUGAUAGAUACACAAGAUUGGUUGCAUCCAUUUUGGGGUGGUGGUAGUUUCAAUGUUGAGGAAGAUGGAGACGAGAAUGGAAGCGAGAUGAGAAUGCAUCUAAAACUACAUGAAUGAAUGUAUACUUUUAAAAUUUUGUUUAGGCUUUUUUAUUUUGUAAUAUAUUUUUACUUUUGGGACUUAAUAUUAUGGUAUUUAGAUAGUACAUUUGGGACUUUUUUUUUUUGUUUUAAUGUUGUGGCAUGUGGAUAUUUUGGAUUUAGUGUUGCCGACUUUUAAUUUAUAUUUUAUAGCAAAAACUAUAAUAAAUUAAGGUGGGAUUAGGCUUGACUGGACUCAAGGUAAGCUCAUCUCAACUUGAGGUAAAAUUGCCUUGACUUGAUCCAC
Long non-coding RNA from Magnolia sinica, 1344 nucleotides. RefSeq lists it as uncharacterized. The transcript is spliced from 4 exons. NCBI's taxonomy places the organism in Eukaryota, Viridiplantae, Streptophyta, Magnoliopsida, Magnoliales, Magnoliaceae. The record is from RefSeq and is a predicted model, not a curated record.